UACAAAGAACAUCGAUCUCAAUUAGGUUCCCUGAAGGGGGGAGCGAUUCCCACAUGGUCUGAAGCCCGAUGUCCUUGUUCGUGAUACGGAUCGCAUGAUCGAGAGGUGGUACUCAUGGGAGUUCUUAUGCAGUAGAAUUUGGUCUCUUCCAAGGGAAAUUUGUGGCAUUUUUGGAUGGCAGCUACCUCCAGUUCUGAUACGUUUUGCUCCAGGCAGCAGAUGAGAUUCUGUGGGUGAGAUCAUCUGAACCAUAUCGCAUUCCUUAUCAAUGAUUUCCUUUGCACUUCCAAGGGAGAAAUCCAGAGAGGAUUUCCGGGGUUUUUGCGAGAAUGUUACAGGUUGGUAGAAAUCACAUACCAUAUCCACCCAUGGGAUUGAACCUUUUAAGGAUGGCUGUAUCCACCACAGGUCCACAAGUGACAUUGUGAUCAGCCUCUACAGAUUGGCUCCGAAGCUCCAGAACAACUGGGUCUCCCUCACCUGCCAUACGCCCUAGACUGCAAGCAUGACUCUCCCAGGAUUUUCUCCCAUAUUUUCCUUCAACUAAGAACACUGAGGAUUUAUAAAACCAGCUGUCAACAAAAGACACAUUGAGCACAGCAGCAGGAGCUUUGCAGCUUCCGUUGACUGAAGUUAUCGAAAACGUAAGGAUGUACUGCGCAUAAAUUGAGGCAGCGAUAUGCUGGGGCCUGCAGUCACAUAGUACACGGUGCCGUCGAAGGACCAGCCGGGGAUAGUGUUGUUCUUGGAUAGAGGCAGGAGGGGAGUGCUGGAGUUUGGCUUGAUAUUUGAUGGAGGGAAUUCAAAGUUUCCAUUCUGCAGCAAAGCUGUUUGUGGAAUGAAAAUGGCAGCUUACCGUCCAAGCAUUUGGUUAGUAACCAUGAGAAGUUUAGGGAGGAUUAGAACUGCACCUGCAGAUGCUGCCGCCACCGCAGCUAAUAGGAUCAAGAAAAUUUUUUCAAGCAGUCUCAUUGUUGAGGAUGAAGCAGUGGAGGUUACGAUGGUUUUCACGAGAUGAAUCUGAUUCAAUAACGGGUUGCUGAGCUUUGCUGGUCUUCUUUCUUUCUUUGAUCAGAUUCAACCAAACAAUGCUCCUCCAGUAUUCCCCAAUGAAACAACAACGGCUUUGACUGGAAUGAAGAACUUGGUGUGUGCGCUUUGAUCUUUGGGGUCGAGUCCUUUUUGCUGAUGUCUAAAAGAGUACGUUGACAUCGUUGGAGAUACAGAAACUUGAUCCAUAUCCUUCGUCAUAGUCAACGUCUGAGACAAAACGAGGCAGCAAUAAUUGACCGUUGACUUUUUUUUUUUUUGGGGUGAGAUACGUAACGUAUCUCAUCUCAGCAUCUCUCGUUCCUAUCUUAAAGGUCUUCUUACUGGAAUCUUUUGGCAAGUUGAACUAAUGAGGUCACCGGGUCGCUUAGUUCGAUCACAAAACAACGCAAGCGUAGCUGUAUCUCCAACUUGACUAUAUACAAACUGCUUAAUUUUUCUGA
This is a long non-coding RNA of Musa acuminata AAA Group (dessert banana), 1493 nucleotides long. RefSeq lists it as uncharacterized. The transcript has 3 exons. NCBI's taxonomy places the organism in Eukaryota, Viridiplantae, Streptophyta, Magnoliopsida, Zingiberales, Musaceae. The record is from RefSeq and is a predicted model, not a curated record.